This 468-nucleotide ribosomal RNA is filed under the name uncultured bacterium. RNAcentral's name for it is "partial 16S ribosomal RNA". It matches the Rfam family "Bacterial small subunit ribosomal RNA", at positions 28 to 507 of the family's 1533-position model. The record is from RNAcentral.
GACGAACGCUGGCGGCGUGCUUAACACAUGCAAGUCGAACGGAAAGGCCCUGCUUUUGUGGGGGGCUCGAGUGGCGAACGGGUGAGUAACACGUGAGUAACCUGCCCUUGACUUUGGGAUAACUUCAGGAAACUGGGGCUAAUACCGGAUAGGAGCUCCUGCUGCAGGGGGGGGGGUGGAAAGUUUCGGCGGUUGGGGAUGGACUCGCGGCUUAUCAGCUUGUUGGUGGGGUAGUGGCUUACCAAGGCUUUGACGGGUAGCCGGCCUGAGAGGGUGACCGGCCACACUGGGACUGAGAUACGGCCCAGACUCCUACGGGAGGCAGCAGUGGGGAAUAUUGCACAAUGGGCGGAAGCCUGAUGCAGCAACGCCGCGUGCGGGAUGACGGCCUUCGGGUUGUAAACCGCUUUCGCCUGUGACGAAGCGUGAGUGACGGUAAUGGGUAAAGAAGCACCGGCUAACUACGUG